RNAcentral lists this non-coding RNA (25 nucleotides) under Rattus norvegicus (Norway rat). Lineage: Eukaryota; Metazoa; Chordata; Mammalia; Rodentia; Muridae. The record is from RNAcentral.
UUGGAUGAUGAUGAGGCCUGUGCGU